AAAGAAGAAGUGAAGUCUGAGGGUAGUGAUGUAACCUCUAACUCGUCAGGGUCUUAUCCUUCAAACCAUAGAUACCAGAAUUGUAGAGAAAGUGAUGAUGAAGAGGAGGAUGUAACGGAUUGUGAAGAAAGCGAUCUAGAUGAUGAUGAUGAUGAUGAUGGUGGGAUGCUUGAUGAAGACUAUUAUGAUGAUGAUUGUUAUGAUGAUAAGCUGCACAGCUGGGAUAAAGAAGUUUAUACUGAGGAGAUUGCAGAUAAUGUU
RNAcentral lists this long non-coding RNA (261 nucleotides) under Capsella grandiflora. RNAcentral's name for it is "long non-coding RNA (CGRA_LNC000178)". Lineage: Eukaryota; Viridiplantae; Streptophyta; Magnoliopsida; Brassicales; Brassicaceae. The record is from RNAcentral.